Molecule: non-coding RNA, 30 nt
Filed under: Rattus norvegicus (Norway rat)
Lineage: Eukaryota; Metazoa; Chordata; Mammalia; Rodentia; Muridae
Source: RNAcentral
UGACUCAACUAAACUCUCUCUUCACUGCUC